Molecule: non-coding RNA, 1034 nt
Organism: Salvia hispanica
Lineage: Eukaryota; Viridiplantae; Streptophyta; Magnoliopsida; Lamiales; Lamiaceae
Source: RefSeq, a predicted model, not a curated record
GAUUUCUUUCCAAAAUUAUAUUUUCUGAAUCACGCGAUUAUAAAUUGGAGGAAUUGAUUCUAGUUGUUCAAAAUCUGGCGAUCUCAUCAAAUUCUGUCUCAUCAAAUCGCGAUUGUCUCCUUUUUGAAGCUAUUUUGCUUGUCAAUUUCUGCCGAUCUCAUCAACCUAUCGCGAUUGUCUCCUUUCCGAAGUUAAAGUUACACCUCUGUGCAAAGAAGAAUUAAGGCCUUUUGUUGGAAAAAGUUUCAAGUCAUUUGAUGCUGCUAUCUCCUUCUAUGAAGAUUAUGCUAAAGAGGUUGGAUUUGAUCCUCGAAAAUCUGGUAGAAAAACAACAGGCGGCAUUAAUGCAUGAUGACCCACAUGUCUGUUGAAACAAACAUUCGCGUUUAUAUAACUGACCGGGGCCAUAGGACUUGGACUGUUACGAACAAUGCUGAGGAUGAUUUGUACGAGUGUCAAUGCAAGCUAUAUCAGAGGUGUGGGAUUCUGUGUCGUCACAUGUUUUUUGUUUUCAAGAACAAUGAUGUGCAGUUGAUACCUGAAAUUUAUAUUAGAAAGAGGUGGCUGAAGAAACAUCUUUUAAUAUCUGUGCAUGGUUCUUCUACCUCAACUUUUUAGGAUCAAACAGUUAUAGAUGCGAUUGAGGAUGUUGAAAAUCAUCUUUUUGGUGAUGGUUCUUAUGUGAUGUCCGUGUUGGAGAAAAAGAAGAGGUUUGAGGAAUUGUAUGGUGUUGUGAGGCCUGAUGUUAUACAUGCUCAUCCGCCAAAUGUGGUGAAGUGUAAAGGAUCUGGAUCCAGGUUGGCUUCUAAGAUGGAAGCGGCGAAGAAGGCAGCGUCUAAACCUCCUAGACGAUGUGGGAAAUGCCAUAAAAUGGUUAGUCAUGAUUCAAGGGACUGCGGCAAAGAGAAGAGUAAAAAACAGAAAUAAAUUAGUUGUUCCUAUUACUGUGGUUUCUGUUUAUUGGCAUACAUAAUUCCUUGUUUUGGAUAUUCCUUAGCAUUCUUGAUUCCAUGUUUUUAUGGAAGAAUAAUAAU